Molecule: ribosomal RNA, 876 nt
Filed under: uncultured crenarchaeote
Lineage: Archaea; Thermoproteati; Thermoproteota
Description: bacterial SSU rRNA
Rfam family: Archaeal small subunit ribosomal RNA
Source: RNAcentral
ACCUGACUGCUAUCGGAUUGAUACUAAGCCAUGCGAGUCAUUGUAGCAAUACAAGGCAUACGGCUCAGUAACGCGUAGUCAACCUAACCUAUGGACGGGAAUAACCUCGGGAAACUGAGAAUAAUGCCCGAUAGAACACUAUACCUGGAAUGGUUUGUGUUCCAAAUGAUUUAUCGCCAUAGGAUGGGACUGCGGCCUAUCAGUUUGUUGGUGAGGUAAUGGCCCACCAAGACUAUUACAGGUACGGGCUCUGAGAGGAGUAGCCCGGAGAUGGGUACUGAGACACGGACCCAGGCCCUAUGGGGCGCAGCAGGCGAGAAAACUUUGCAAUGUGCGAAAGCACGACAAGGUUAAUCCGAGUGAUUUGUGCUAAGCGAAUCUUUUGUUAGUCCUAGAAACACUAACGAAUAAGGGGUGGGCAAGUUCUGGUGUCAGCCGCCGCGGUAAAACCAGCACCUCAAGUGGUCAGGAUGAUUAUUGGGCCUAAAGCAUCCGUAGCCGGCUCUGUAAGUUUUCGGUUAAAUCUGUACGCUUAACGUACAGGCUGCCGGGAAUACUGCAGAGCUAGGGAGUGGGAGAGGUAGACGGUACUCGGUAGGAAGUGGUAAAAUGCUUUGAUCUAUCGAUGACCACCUGUGGCGAAGGCGGUCUACCAGAACACGUCCGACGGUGAGGGAUGAAAGCUGGGGGAGCAAACCGGAUUAGAUACCCGGGUAGUCCCAGCUGUAAACUAUGCAAACUCAGUGAUGCAUUGGCUUGUGGCCAAUGCAGUGCUGCAGGGAAGCCGUUAAGUUUGCCGCCUGGGAAGUACGUACGCAAGUAUGAAACUUAAAGGAAUUGGCGGGGGAGCACCACAAGGGGUGAAGCCUGCGGUUC